This 301-nucleotide ribosomal RNA is filed under the name uncultured bacterium. RNAcentral describes it as "partial 16S ribosomal RNA". It matches the Rfam family "Bacterial small subunit ribosomal RNA", at positions 509 to 807 of the family's 1533-position model. The record is from RNAcentral.
CAGCAGCCGCGGUAAUACAGAGGGUGCAAGCGUUAAUCGGAUCUACUGGGCGUAAAGGGCGCGUAGGUGGUUAUGUAAGUGAGAUGUGAAAUCCCCGGGCUCAACCUGGGAACUGCACCUUAUACUGCGUAGCUGGAGUGCAGUAGAGGGUAGUGGAAUUUCCGGUGUAGCGGUGAAAUGCGUAGAUAUCGGAAGGAACACCAGUGGCGAAGGCGGCUACCUGGACUGACACUGACACUGAGGCGCGAAAGCGUGGGGAGCAAACAGGAUUAGAUACCCCUGUAGUCCCUGUCUCUUAUAC